This 383-nucleotide ribosomal RNA is filed under the name uncultured bacterium. RNAcentral describes it as "bacterial SSU rRNA". It matches the Rfam family "Bacterial small subunit ribosomal RNA", at positions 30 to 416 of the family's 1533-position model. The record is from RNAcentral.
AUUGAACGCUGGCGGCAUGCCUUACACAUGCAAGUCGAACGGCAGCGCGGGGCAACCUGGCGGCGAGUGGCGAACGGGUGAGUAAUAUAUCGGAACAUACCCUAGAGUGGGGGAUAACGUAGCGAAAGUUACGCUAAUACCGCAUACGCACUAAGGUGGAAAGUGGGGGAUCUUCGGACCUCAUGCUCAUGGAGUGGCCGAUAUCUGAUUAGCUAGUUGGUGAGGUAAAGGCUCACCAAGGCGACGAUCAGUAGCUGGUUUGAGAGAACGACCAGCCACACUGGAACUGAGACACGGUCCAGACUCCUACGGAGGCAGCAGUGGGGAAUUUUGGACAAUGGGCGCAAGCCUGAUCCAGCAAUGCCGCGUGCAGGAUGAAGGCC